RNAcentral lists this long non-coding RNA (213 nucleotides) under Ananas comosus (pineapple). Its description in RNAcentral is "long non-coding RNA (ACOM_LNC043988)". Lineage: Eukaryota; Viridiplantae; Streptophyta; Magnoliopsida; Poales; Bromeliaceae. The record is from RNAcentral.
AGAAAGCAAGAGAAUGUGUGAGGGAGGGAGAGAGAGUGAACUGAGAGAGAGUGAGAGGGAGAGAGGGACUAAUAAGCCCUCUAUUGUAACAAUAUCCAUCCAAGCCCCUCCACUUUUCACUCUGUGCGAAGCCCUCCCUGGGCGUUCUGCGCGCGGAGGGACCGGUCUCCCCGACUUGGGACCGGUCCCCGAGAGCUUCAGCUCGGGUCACGC